UGAGGAAUAUUGGACAAUGGGCGCAAGCCUGAUCCAGCCAUGCCGCGUGCAGGAAGAAGCAUCUAUGGUGUGUAAACUGCUUUUGUACGGGAAGAAACACUCCUACGUGUAGGAGCUUGACGGUACCGUAAGAAUAAGGAUCGGCUAACUCCGUGCCAGCAGCCGCGGUAAUACGGAGGAUCCAAGCGUUAUCCGGAAUCAUUGGGUUUAAAGGGUCCGUAGGCGGUUUAAUAAGUCAGUGGUGAAAGCCCAUCGCUCAGCGAUGGAACGGCCAUUGAUACUGCUAGACUUGAAUUACAAGGAAGUAACUAGAAUAUGUAGUGUAGCGGUGAAAUGCUUAGAUAUUACAUGGAAUACCAAUUGCGAAGGCAGGUUACUACUUGUGGAUUGACGCUGAUGGACGAAAGCGUGGGGAGCGAACA
RNAcentral lists this ribosomal RNA (422 nucleotides) under uncultured bacterium. Its description in RNAcentral is "bacterial SSU rRNA". It matches the Rfam family "Bacterial small subunit ribosomal RNA", at positions 355 to 774 of the family's 1533-position model. The record is from RNAcentral.